AGAGAGAAAGCAAACUCACGGUCUUCUUCUCCUUCCUUCCUUUGUUUUCCAAAACAAAAACUAAAACCAUAAAACACAAACCCUCAUUUAUUUACUAGAUCUAAGCUUCCAUUCGAGAAGUGAGAGAAGAGGAAGUUGCUCAUUGCCACGCUGCGGUGCUAGUGAGCUAGUUUUCGAUGCGACGUCACGAACUUAAAUUUUACCGGAAUUAAUUACGGUACCGUAAUCGCGCGUUAGAGCUAUCAUUAAGGUAAUGACUCCUUCCAAACUUUUAGUUUGCAUUUAGGACAUUAUUUGUGAUUUUGUGGAAAAGAAAUUUGAUGUAUUUGAGGUGUGAUUUUGUGAAAAAUUAAUUUAAUGUGAUUAUGUGUUAU
RNAcentral lists this long non-coding RNA (374 nucleotides) under Cicer arietinum (chickpea). RNAcentral's name for it is "long non-coding RNA (CARI_LNC002749)". The record is from RNAcentral. Lineage: Eukaryota; Viridiplantae; Streptophyta; Magnoliopsida; Fabales; Fabaceae.